Non-coding RNA from Symsagittifera roscoffensis, 85 nucleotides. Lineage: Eukaryota; Metazoa; Xenacoelomorpha; Acoela; Convolutidae. The record is from the annotation of a RefSeq genome assembly.
GCUACGGUGGCCGAGUGGUUAAGGCGUUGGACUUAAGAUCCAAUGGGACGCAUGUCCUUCGCAGGUUCGAAUCCUGUCUGUAGCG